This 240-nucleotide ribosomal RNA is filed under the name uncultured bacterium. Its description in RNAcentral is "partial 16S ribosomal RNA". It matches the Rfam family "Bacterial small subunit ribosomal RNA", at positions 524 to 762 of the family's 1533-position model. The record is from RNAcentral.
UACGUAGGGUGCGAGCGUUAAUCGGAAUUACUGGGCGUAAAGCGUGCGCAGGCGGUUCGUUGUGUCUGAUGUGAAAGCCCCCGGGCUCAACCUGGGAAUGGCAUUGGAAACUGGCGAGCUGGAGUGUGGCAGAGGGGGGUGGAAUUCCGCGUGUAGCAGUGAAAUGCGUAGAGAUGCGGAGGAACACCGAUGGCGAAGGCAAUCCCCUGGGCCUGCACUGACGCUCAUGCACGAAAGCGU